AGCUGCUCCAGUGUAGGA
Molecule: small nuclear RNA, 18 nt
Filed under: Arabidopsis thaliana (thale cress)
Lineage: Eukaryota; Viridiplantae; Streptophyta; Magnoliopsida; Brassicales; Brassicaceae
Description: snRNA_05622
Source: RNAcentral